GUGCAGUCCUUGAUGGUUUCCUCACCUUGU
Molecule: non-coding RNA, 30 nt
Filed under: Homo sapiens (human)
Lineage: Eukaryota; Metazoa; Chordata; Mammalia; Primates; Hominidae
Source: RNAcentral